This 1018-nucleotide precursor RNA is filed under the name Hordeum vulgare. Its description in RNAcentral is "precursor microRNA miR172". The stretch from base 307 to 503 matches the Rfam family "mir-172 microRNA precursor family". The record is from RNAcentral. Lineage: Eukaryota; Viridiplantae; Streptophyta; Magnoliopsida; Poales; Poaceae.
ACAUAUCACUCAGACCCAGGGCCUUUGGUAGUUGCUAUGGGACUUGGAGAGAGUAGCUAGCCAUGUGUCUUCUUCCUCCUCUGCCUCUCCCUCCUUUCAUCUUCCUCAAGGGCUUGCUUGCUACCUAGCUUCUUCCUCUUCCGUGCAUGCAACUCUCUCCCGGUGUACCAUUUCUUCUAGCUAGCUUGGUGAGAGAGGGGCAAAGGUCAAGAGAGGGGCAAAGGUCAGAGAGAGCACACAUAUAUGUUACACAAGCUAGCCUCGAUGGAGUAUAUAUCGUCGAAGUCUGCUCGCUGCAGCCAGCCGGUGAUUUCUGGUGUGGCAUCAUCAAGAUUCACACAAUGUAUGGCAUGCAUGCCAUGCUCUCAUCCUUCCCCAUCUGUCCGUGCUUGUGAACUUGAGUUUCGUUCAUGCAUGGGAGAUGGAUGGAUGGAUCGAUGAGCUUUGCUAGCUAGCCAGCGUACUAUGUGUGGGAAUCUUGAUGAUGCUGCAUCGGUGAUCAAUGGCUAAUACACAUGGACACCUGGCUCAGUUCGUCCUUGCAUGCUCUCUUUCUCUCUUGCAAGGUCCUCUCAGAUCUAUCUAGUACGUCCGGCCGAGUUCCGAUCCAGGUAAAACUAAUAAGGUGGCAUUAACCAUCACGAGUUUGUGGUCAGCUUUCUAGGUAUACCGCUUGCUCAAUACGUGCCUUAGUUAAUGCCAUUGAUCUAUAUUUCGAGCAGGUAGGGGUAGGUAGGUAAACAGAGAGUAUCUUAUGCACUAACUUCAUACCAUAGGCCAAGAAGUUCACGUUGCCAAGUUCAAGUUUGUUCCCUCGAACGUGAGCCAGUUAAGCUCAAGUUAGUGAGGCUAUUAUCUUAUGUAACAAGUUUUACGCUUGGAGUACCAAGUGCUUUGGCACUAGCUAGCUGGGUUGUGUAGCCCAAGUAGUACGUACUACUGUGGUAACCGCAAUGGCAUCAGCUAGCUAGCUGGCCGUUGAUCGACUGACAUAUAUAUUCAAAAAAAAAAAAAAAAA